Molecule: ribosomal RNA, 1554 nt
Filed under: Salmonella enterica subsp. enterica serovar Typhimurium
Lineage: Bacteria; Pseudomonadati; Pseudomonadota; Gammaproteobacteria; Enterobacterales; Enterobacteriaceae
Description: bacterial SSU rRNA
Rfam family: Bacterial small subunit ribosomal RNA
Source: RNAcentral
AAAUUGAAGAGUUUGAUCAUGGCUCAGAUUGAACGCUGGCGGCAGGCCUAACACAUGCAAGUCGAACGGUAACAGGAAGCAGCUUGCUGCUUCGCUGACGAGUGGCGGACGGGUGAGUAAUGUCUGGGAAACUGCCUGAUGGAGGGGGAUAACUACUGGAAACGGUGGCUAAUACCGCAUAACGUCGCAAGACCAAAGAGGGGGACCUUCGGGCCUCUUGCCAUCAGAUGUGCCCAGAUGGGAUUAGCUUGUUGGUGAGGUAACGGCUCACCAAGGCGACGAUCCCUAGCUGGUCUGAGAGGAUGACCAGCCACACUGGAACUGAGACACGGUCCAGACUCCUACGGGAGGCAGCAGUGGGGAAUAUUGCACAAUGGGCGCAAGCCUGAUGCAGCCAUGCCGCGUGUAUGAAGAAGGCCUUCGGGUUGUAAAGUACUUUCAGCGGGGAGGAAGGUGUUGUGGUUAAUAACCGCAGCAAUUGACGUUACCCGCAGAAGAAGCACCGGCUAACUCCGUGCCAGCAGCCGCGGUAAUACGGAGGGUGCAAGCGUUAAUCGGAAUUACUGGGCGUAAAGCGCACGCAGGCGGUCUGUCAAGUCGGAUGUGAAAUCCCCGGGCUCAACCUGGGAACUGCAUUCGAAACUGGCAGGCUUGAGUCUUGUAGAGGGGGGUAGAAUUCCAGGUGUAGCGGUGAAAUGCGUAGAGAUCUGGAGGAAUACCGGUGGCGAAGGCGGCCCCCUGGACAAAGACUGACGCUCAGGUGCGAAAGCGUGGGGAGCAAACAGGAUUAGAUACCCUGGUAGUCCACGCCGUAAACGAUGUCUACUUGGAGGUUGUGCCCUUGAGGCGUGGCUUCCGGAGCUAACGCGUUAAGUAGACCGCCUGGGGAGUACGGCCGCAAGGUUAAAACUCAAAUGAAUUGACGGGGGCCCGCACAAGCGGUGGAGCAUGUGGUUUAAUUCGAUGCAACGCGAAGAACCUUACCUGGUCUUGACAUCCACAGAACUUUCCAGAGAUGGAUUUGUGCCUUCGGGAACUGUGAGACAGGUGCUGCAUGGCUGUCGUCAGCUCGUGUUGUGAAAUGUUGGGUUAAGUCCCGCAACGAGCGCAACCCUUAUCCUUUGUUGCCAGCGGUUAGGCCGGGAACUCAAAGGAGACUGCCAGUGAUAAACUGGAGGAAGGUGGGGAUGACGUCAAGUCAUCAUGGCCCUUACGACCAGGGCUACACACGUGCUACAAUGGCGCAUACAAAGAGAAGCGACCUCGCGAGAGCAAGCGGACCUCAUAAAGUGCGUCGUAGUCCGGAUUGGAGUCUGCAACUCGACUCCAUGAAGUCGGAAUCGCUAGUAAUCGUGGAUCAGAAUGCCACGGUGAAUACGUUCCCGGGCCUUGUACACACCGCCCGUCACACCAUGGGAGUGGGUUGCAAAAGAAGUAGGUAGCUUAACCUUCGGGAGGGCGCUUACCACUUUGUGAUUCAUGACUGGGGUGAAGUCGUAACAAGGUAACCGUAGGGGAACCUGCGGUUGGAUCACCUCCUUACCUUAAAGAAGC